RNAcentral lists this transfer RNA (70 nucleotides) under Alphaproteobacteria bacterium. RNAcentral describes it as "tRNA-Lys". Lineage: Bacteria; Pseudomonadati; Pseudomonadota; Alphaproteobacteria. The record is from RNAcentral.
AGGCGGCGUCUAGGGUGGAAGCUGACUCUUAAUCAGCGGGUCGAAGGUUCGAGUCCUUCACAGCCCACCA